RNAcentral lists this long non-coding RNA (263 nucleotides) under Homo sapiens (human). RNAcentral's name for it is "non-protein coding lnc-ETNK1-1:8". The record is from RNAcentral. Lineage: Eukaryota; Metazoa; Chordata; Mammalia; Primates; Hominidae.
AAACGCUCCAUCUUGCGGGCCGAAGCGCGAGUGCUGCUCUGUGACAGCCUCCGGCCGCGGCCUUCCCAGCUGCUACCGCCGCUUUUCGGAUGGGCUGUGAUAGAUGGAGUAGCAGCGAAGACUGCUAGAAGAGCGUUUUCAGUCGGCCUUUAGUGAUUCGUAAAACCAAAUUAGCUGGUUUCUACUUGGAAGGGGUACAGAAGAUCAAACUCUCCCAAAAAGUAGAGAUUAAACAACAACUAAAGAUGGCGAAUCAUAGAAGG